AUAGACCUGUUGUGCAAAUGUCACGCACACAGUGUGCGACAGCUGCCUGUGAUGUAACAUGCGCGGACGGGUCCUCCCUGCGCGCGAUAAGACGCAUGUGCAGGUUUACCCUCUACGUUGCACGCAAUGGGACCUGUGCACUGUGCACACGUCCUACGCUUGUCACGCGUGCACGGGCGCUCGCGCGGGCAGCCCAUCCCUG
RNAcentral lists this long non-coding RNA (202 nucleotides) under Carica papaya (papaya). RNAcentral's name for it is "long non-coding RNA (CPAP_LNC016378)". The record is from RNAcentral. Lineage: Eukaryota; Viridiplantae; Streptophyta; Magnoliopsida; Brassicales; Caricaceae.